AGAAUCAACGCUGGCGGCGUGCCUAACACAUGCAAGUCGAACGAGAAAGUGGGAGCAAUCCCACGAGUAAAGUGGCGCACGGGUGAGUAACACGUGACUAAUCUACCCUCGAGUGGGGAAUAACUGAGAGAAAUCUUAGCUAAUACCGCAUAACACUUACGAGUCAAAGCAGCAAUGCGCUUGGGGAGGAGGUCGCGGCCGAUUAGCUAGUUGGCGGGGUAAUGGCCCACCAAGGGGAUGAUCGGUAUCCGGCCUGAGAGGGCGCACGGACACACUGGAACUGAAACACGGUCCAGACUCCUACGGGAGGCAGCAGUGGGGAAUUUUGCGCAAUGGGGGAAACCCUGACGCAGCAACGCCGCGUGGAGGAUGAAAUAUCUUGGUAUGUAAAACUCCUUUCGAUGGGGAAGAUUAUGACGGUACCCAUAGAAGAAGCCCCGGCUAACUUCGUGCCAGCAGCCG
Molecule: ribosomal RNA, 462 nt
Filed under: uncultured bacterium
Lineage: Bacteria
Description: SSU rRNA
Rfam family: Bacterial small subunit ribosomal RNA
Source: RNAcentral